RNAcentral lists this long non-coding RNA (292 nucleotides) under Cairina moschata (Muscovy duck). RNAcentral describes it as "domestica (muscovy Duck (domestic type)) lncRNA (ENSCMMG00000014235.1)". Lineage: Eukaryota; Metazoa; Chordata; Aves; Anseriformes; Anatidae. The record is from RNAcentral.
CUUGAAAUCAUUUAUCCAGCGUAUCCGAUCAAACACAAACAUCCUCUGCACUUGGAAAUAAAUGAGGGUUGGAGCCAGCUCGCCUCUGCAGAGGCUGUGUCCGACGUGUCGGUGCUAAAGCAGAAGCUGAGGAUCUUUCCUUCUCCCUUUUUCACCCUCGCUCACUCUCACUGCCUUGUAACCACGAACAGUGAGUAAAAAUAUUCAUGUUUCAGUCCAGUACCUUUUUGCACGCCUCACACUAGAGGUUUUUUUCCAUUCCCCUGGGGUUGGGCAGGCCUCGAUUAUCACU